UUGAAAUGCAUCGUGACCGGCCUUGAAAGAGGGUUUUUCCCGUUCGGGGCAGAUGUGUAGGUGCUGCAUGGUUGUCGUCAGCUCGUGCCGUGAGGUGUCGGCUUAAGUGCCAUAACGAGCGCAACCCUCAUCAUUAGUUACCAUCAGGUAAGGCUGGGGACGUCUAAUGAGACUGCCAUCGUAAGAUGUGAGGAAGGUGGGGAUGACGUCAAAUCAGCACGGCCCUUACGUCCGGGGCGACACACGUGUUACAAUGGGUGGUACAAAGGGCAGCUACCUGGCGACAGGAUGCUAAUCUCCAAAACCACUCUCAGUUCGGAUCGGAGUCUGCAACUCGACUCCGUGAAGCUGGAUUCGCUAGUAAUCGCGCAUCAGCCACGGCGCGGUGAAUACGUUCCCGGGCCUU
RNAcentral lists this ribosomal RNA (406 nucleotides) under uncultured Proteiniphilum sp. RNAcentral describes it as "bacterial SSU rRNA". It matches the Rfam family "Bacterial small subunit ribosomal RNA", at positions 981 to 1382 of the family's 1533-position model. Lineage: Bacteria; Pseudomonadati; Bacteroidota; Bacteroidia; Bacteroidales; Dysgonomonadaceae. The record is from RNAcentral.